This 253-nucleotide ribosomal RNA is filed under the name uncultured bacterium. RNAcentral's name for it is "partial 16S ribosomal RNA". It matches the Rfam family "Bacterial small subunit ribosomal RNA", at positions 524 to 776 of the family's 1533-position model. The record is from RNAcentral.
UACGGGGGGGGCAAGCGUUGUUCGGAAUUAUUGGGCGUAAAGGGCUCGUAGGCGGUUUGUCGCGUCGGGAGUGAAAACCAUGGGCUUAACUCAUGGCUUGCUUCCGAUACGGGCAGACUAGAGGUAUGCAGGGGAGAACGGAAUUCCUGGUGUAGCGGUGAAAUGCGCAGAUAUCAGGAGGAACACCGGUGGCGAAGGCGGUUCUCUGGGCAUUACCUGACGCUGAGGAGCGAAAGUGUGGGGAGCGAACAGG